UACAGAGACUGCAAGCGUUAUUCGGAUUCACUGGGCGUAAAGGGUGCGCAGGCGGCCGAGUGUGUGAGGCGUGAAAGCCCGGGGCUUAACCCCGGAAUUGCACCUCAAACUACACGGCUAGAGCAUUGGAGAGGGUAGCAGAAUUCACGGUGUAGCAGUGAAAUGCGUAGAUAUCGUGAGGAAUACCAGAGGCGAAGGCGGCUACCUGGACAAUUGCUGACGCUCAGGCACGAAGGUCAGGGGAGCAAACGGG
This 253-nucleotide ribosomal RNA is filed under the name uncultured bacterium. Its description in RNAcentral is "partial 16S ribosomal RNA". It matches the Rfam family "Bacterial small subunit ribosomal RNA", at positions 524 to 776 of the family's 1533-position model. The record is from RNAcentral.